This 493-nucleotide ribosomal RNA is filed under the name Hemiphractus helioi. RNAcentral's name for it is "partial large subunit ribosomal RNA". It matches the Rfam family "Bacterial large subunit ribosomal RNA", at positions 1928 to 2597 of the family's 2925-position model. The record is from RNAcentral. Lineage: Eukaryota; Metazoa; Chordata; Amphibia; Anura; Hemiphractidae.
CGACCGGGGUAUCCUAACCGUGCGUGGGUAGCGUGAUCACUUGCCCCUUAAAUAGGGGCUGGUAUGAACGGCACCACGAAGGUUUAACUGUCUCCUUUUUCUAAUCAGUGAAAUUAAUCUCCCCGUGAAGAAGCGGGGAUAAAUACAUAAGACGAGAAGACCCUAUGGAGCUUUAAAUGUUAACAACAAUUGCUCUUCCACCCAACACAGCACUAUGAUUGUUAAUUUUAGGUUGGGGCGACCACGGAGCAAAACUUAACCUCCUUGUUGAAGGUAAUUAUCCUAUAGCAAAAACUAACAACUUUAAGCAUCAUUAAAUUGACAUACAUUGACCCAAUAUUUUGAUCAACGAACCAAGUUACCCUAGGGAUAACAGCGCCAUCCACCUCAAGAGCCCCUAUCGACAGGUGGGUUUACGACCUCGAUGUUGGAUCAGGGCAUCCCAGUGGUGUAGCCGCUACUAAAGGUUCGUUUGUUCAACGAUUAAAGCCCU